Molecule: long non-coding RNA, 712 nt
Filed under: Ananas comosus (pineapple)
Lineage: Eukaryota; Viridiplantae; Streptophyta; Magnoliopsida; Poales; Bromeliaceae
Description: long non-coding RNA (ACOM_LNC009788)
Source: RNAcentral
UUUUCCUACAUAGCAGAAGCCAUAGAUAUUUUCUCACUCUAGUACAUGUCUAGAGAGAGAGUCCGACUAAAGUACUUCUAAUAGCACUAAGCAUUUCAUGCUACAAAGUUUUUCACAUCCAGAUUUAUUCUUUUGACUAUUUUUAUCCGUUAGAUCAUACUAUUCAAUCAACUACCCACUUUAUUCUAGGGGACCAUUAUUAUUCUCUAAUCGCACAUCCUUUUAUCCAAAGGUCAAAAAUAUUCUAAUAGCACCAACGACUCCGAUGUGCUAUUAGAAGCAUUCCAGCCUGCUUUUCUAUAUAUAUAUAUAUAGAAUUAUGCUACUAUACUAUCAAUAGUACCAAGCCCUUUGUACUAUUGAGUUUUCGGCCGUUGGAUGAAAGAAUGUGCGGUUAGGAUGAUAGUGAUCCCCUAGGGUUGAGUGGGUGGUUGGUUUAAUAGUUUAAUCUAACGGGUGAAAAUGGUCAAAAGGUAGAUCUAACGGUAGAAAACUCAAUAGUACCAAGGGCUUAGUAUUAUCGAUAGUAUAGUAGCCGGACUCAUAUAUAUAUAUAUUUUUAUCUAAGGGCCGAAAACCUAAUAGUACCAACAACUUGGUGCUAUUAAUAGCAUUCCAGCCUAGUUCUAUAUAUAUAUAGUUUGGAUUAUAUAUACAUAAUUAAGACUACAGUGGUAUUUUAGAAAGCAUAUCAGCUCAGUUCUAUAUAUAU